AGGACUGGAUCACAACCCAUUGAUUUAGAAUGUGUUUUGCUCAUAAUAGGUCGUAACCUUGAGUAUCCUCUGAUUAUUUUGUUGCUUGUUCUGUACAGAUUGGUGAGGAAGAUUGUGAACCUGGAUAAUCACAUUGCAGGAGCCACAGAUGUGCAAUAUUGUCUGUCGGUUUACACCUGAUGCCAAAACUGUAAAGCAGUUUAAAGAGGAGAUAGAUGAUGAGUAUUGAGUGAACAUAACAAGCAUUUACUGUCCUUAGCUGAAGACAGCUAGGGAAGCAGCAAAAUUUGCCGUUACAGGAAGUGCCAUUGGAGCUGUAUCAACUGCUGGACUUGUGUGGAAAUAUUCAAGGAGUUUGCAUGAAGUGCAAACCAGGACAUGGUUACUUUGACAUCAUGUCCUGCAAUUAUAUACAGUGCACGAUGUAUCGGUGAGGAAGAUUGUGAACCUGGACAAUCACAUUGCAGGAGCCACAGAUGUGCAAUAUCUAGAUACCAUGAGCUUGGUAUGUUUAUGAAUUGGCUUCCUCUGCAGCUGGGUUUGCUUAUCUCGGUAUACCCUACUUUUACAUCAUAUUAUUUAUUGUUAUAUGAUAAAUAAACAGCUGCAUAUGAAAAGCUAGUAUCUUCUUUGGUAGCGUCAAGUUCCACUGCCAUGGUAGCUUUAGCUAGCCAUGUUAAGUGCUUGAAGCUAUGGA
This is a long non-coding RNA of Rosa chinensis, 697 nucleotides long. RefSeq lists it as uncharacterized. Lineage: Eukaryota; Viridiplantae; Streptophyta; Magnoliopsida; Rosales; Rosaceae. The transcript is spliced from 3 exons. The record is from RefSeq and is a predicted model, not a curated record.